UAAAACGUCGUGAGACAGUUUGGUCCCUAUCUGCCGUGGGCGCUGGAAAUUUGAAGGGGGCUGCUCCUAGUACGAGAGGACCGGAGUGGACGAACCUCUGGUGUACCGGUUAUGACGCCAGUCGUAUCGCCGGGUAGCUAAGUUCGGAAGAGAUAAACGCUGAAAGCAUCUAAGCGUGAAACUCGCCUUAAGAUGAGAUUUCCCCGGGGACUCGAUCCCCCUCAAGGGCCGUGGUAGACCACCACGUUGAUAGGCUGGAUGUGGAAGCGCAGCAAUGCGUUGAGCUAACCAGUACUAAUCGCCCGUGCGGCUUGAUCCU
This 319-nucleotide ribosomal RNA is filed under the name Accumulibacter sp. Its description in RNAcentral is "partial 23S ribosomal RNA". It matches the Rfam family "Bacterial large subunit ribosomal RNA", at positions 2612 to 2925 of the family's 2925-position model. Lineage: Bacteria; Pseudomonadati; Pseudomonadota; Betaproteobacteria. The record is from RNAcentral.